AGGGAAGUGUAAACGAGGGCAGCUCAGAAUCCUUUCCUGUCAGCUUCACGUGCUAGCUUUUGAGCUGAGGAAGCAUGCUCUGUGUUUCUGAGGUGUUCCCUUCUGUUUUAAAAGAGAAGGGCUGCAAGGUGACAUUUUUCUUGUGGCUUGCAGCUUUGCUCCUUGGCACAGACCUUUGUUUCCAUGUGGCAGACUGUUUUGCAGUCUGUGGGUGUCCCAACUUCAGACAUGCAUCUUCUAGACUGACAACUGUUCUAAGGAGGAAAGAAAGAAAGUGGUUUAAUCAGAACGACAUUUGAGUGUUAACACAGCGAGGUGAACGAGGGCCCCAGAAGCAAACUUGGUGCUGUUGAAGCACUGUCCGAUGACAAGGUUGAAGGUAACACCUGCCGGCAGAUGUGGAAAACACCUCUGGAUUGUGGUGAGGAGAAAGUGAAACACAAUGACUGAGCUGCCUGCAAAGAGCUUCUGGUGGAAGCUUGGUAGCAACUUGGAACUAGAUCAGAUCAACUUCUUGUGUGCUGACAUCCAGCCAGGCUUUGGGGAUGAGUCUGCAUAGCAGGGUAUGUGUGGCAGGACUGAGGCUUGGGGAGCAGGCCAGGUGGAAUCCAGUGCGCUUUGCUCUUGUUCUCAGUGUUUGUUUUUGCUCAGGAGGGCAGGUGGUGAAGCUCAUGAAGCAAUGCCUGCAGAUGGGGUUUGCGAAACAAGAGGUCCUGAAGGCCUUGUGUGACACGCAUGGAGCUGUAGCAGGGCUGCAUCAGUGUAAAACAGCAGAAAUGCACGGAGGUGUGAAGGUGAGUGGUGGGCUCCAGUAGUGCAGGAGGGGAUGUACGUGCUCAGGGUUUGGCUGCUUCUGUGUGUGUUUUAAGUGAGUGUGAUGCCACUGCUUGGUCCGUUUGAGUGUAUGGAACAAGUGUGCCAUCCUUUGUGAUGGAGUCAUGUGCAAGGAGUCCUAUGGAUUUGAGAGCUGACUUGAAGCCUGUGGGCAUCACGGAGGAAUAGGGGUAGGGGAUGAGGCAAGGGAAGUUGGGGUAAAGGGAUGAGGCGUAGGGACAGGAACCUCUUUGGCCUCUUUGGUGAGCUGUGCCCAAGGUGAGAGAGUUGACUCUUGUGGGCUUUGAGACACGUCUUCCAGUUGCACGCUGUGCUAUUUCCGUUGUGUUGACCUCUUGAGCUCCAGCCCCAAGUGAGGAUCCGAGCAGUAGCGCAGAAGGGACGGUUUAGACUGGAAGUGCAAUGCAAAGGGCUGGAGCUAGCAGGAGCAGGGAAGUGAUCAUCCUCCUGUACUCAGCACUGGUGAGUCCUCACCUCGAGUACUUGCAGCACCUUAGAGGCAACCUUGAUUUCUCCAGCCUUCUGUGAGCUUUGUGCCACGAGAGCUCUGCAGCUUCUACCUGUGACGUGAGAGCGUAUGGAAGGCCCUGCAAGAAGUCUGGGUAGGUGAUGUCAGUUGCUCUUCCUCUCCCCACAAGUGCUGGACAUAGCUGGGAACGGGAGUGGGGGACAUCCCAGCAGUGGGUUCCUACCUCAGCAGAACGGAAGGGCUGUCCUGAUGGGUGUAUUGAACUGGAGUGAAUCUGACGCUGAUGAGAGAAAUGAGGGGCGUGUGGAAAAAAAGGAGUGUGUUGCAUUUGGUGGUGCAAGAUGUUCUGGGAACUGCUGCUAGCAAUGCCCAGAAGGCUUCCUUUUGCUGGGGAGAGGUUUAGCAAGGAUUUUUUAUAUGAAGAGAGUUCAUCCUAUGUAUCCUUUGCAUUGACCUUUUGUUGUACUGCUUGAGAAAUUCCUAUUUCUUGCUGUAGAGAAUACACAUGCACCCUGCACUUGUAUCUGCACAAAGAAUCUUCUAAACAUCUCAGUACAUGUUUCUUUUUGGCACUGGGAUGGAGCUGUGUGGAACGCAGACUUGGAUGAAUCUUCAGUCAGGUGCAGGAAUGCGUAAUGCUCAUCUUAGAUGACACGCAGACAGCAGCAGUAGAGAGGCAAAUUUCAUAGGGUGGCAUGCUUUUUUUUUUUUUUCUUUUGUUUCAGUGAUAACCGUGGAAGCAUAGAAGCGUUACCCAGACAAAAUGAGCGUUUGUCACCUGGGCUUUCUACAAAUGACGUAGGCAGUGGAAGUCAGCAUGGGAAGCAUCCGUGAGAGCCCUGCAAAAGACUGGUGAGAGUUCCCCUGGCAGCCUCCUUUGGCAAUCUCAGGUCUCUGUAAGCUCUUAAGCUGUGUCGUAAGUCCUCCCGUGGUGCUGACUCAGCUCUCCCUGUCUUUGGUGUAGGAGAGCUGGACUUCAACUCCUUCCUGUUUCCUGCCUAUCUGCUCCCUGCUUUGCCCAUGGCCCAGUGAGCCUUUUAUUCUUCACCCCCGGACUUGCACGUGUGGAUAACAGCAUCUGCUUAUGUACGCUUCUUUUCUGCUUGUGGUGUCAGGCUGAGCGACGGCUCCCAGCCCAGCUUGUGCUUAGCGAGACACAGAGUAGCUGGAGAUGGAGUUCUCCGUGUCGCUAAAGCGUGGGCCUGAUGGCUGUCAUGAGCCAAAGCAUCAGAGUUUCUGUGUUUGAUUUCUGUGUUGGGCUGAGCGGGUAGAGCAGGGCAAGGGGGCUGAUUUGGACGUGCUGCUUUCCAAAUACGGUGCUGUUUGCGUGGCAGUGCUUCUGGCGUUCCAAAUUGUGUCAGAUGUCACUGAAUUCCUUGGAAUCUGUUGAGUUGACUUGUGCAGGUUUCAUUCUUCUGCUGAACCCUUCCUGGCCGCUUCUGUGCAUAGCCAUGGCUGUUGCUUCUUUCUUGCCUCCUUUCUUUGUUGUGUUUGGUACUGUGCAAGCCAUGAAUUGCCAGGGAGCAGCUGAAAGUGCUCUGGAGUUGUGGGGGACAAACUGCCAAGAAACAAGGUGCAGCUUCAAAGCCCCAAAGUUUGGAGAGAUGAGAGAUGCACAGCGCUCUGCCUGGUGCAGGACAUGAUGUGCUCUGCAAGGCGCUUUCCACAAAGCCCUCACGUCCUUUCUCAAACUGCAUCCAAAGCAACCCAGUGCCCUGUGCUUGUUGUACCCGGAGGUAUCGGUGCCAGGAGUUGCUGCUGUGUUUGCAAUGACAUUGUGUCGGCAGGGUGACGUUAAUGGGGUGCAAUGCCCUCAGUCAUUCAAAGCAUCCUUGCAGAUGUUCCUAGUGAGGGGCAUGUUUCAUUGACACCAUAGGUUGUUUUCUGGAAAAUGAAACAGUGGGCUUGCGUACCUCAAGAUGGUUUUCAUUUCCUGCUGAGCCCAGUGCACUUCACGUCUGCUGCCAUUGCCCCACGGCCCUGUUGUGGUUUAAGCCGGUGGGUGGCUCAGCACCACACAGUCCUUUGCUUACUCCCCCCUUCCCAAUGGGAUGGGGGAGAGAAUUAUGAGGGGAAAAAAAAGGAAGUGGAACUCAUGCCUUGAGAGAAAUCUCUUUCCAAAGGAAGAGAAAAGGAAGGCUAGAAGUAAUAUAUAUGUCUAUUUAUGAAUGUAUGUAACAAGUGAUGUAGAAGCAGUGGCUCAGCACCUCCCAACCAAUGGCCAAGCAGAGGAAGAGAGUGAGAUGAACUCCCACCCCCUUCAAAACCCCUUCCACUUGAUGUCAUAUGGUAUGGAAUAUCCCUUUGGCCCGUUGACGUCAGCUGUCCUAAUUUGGUUUCCUCCCAGCUCCUUCUUGAGAGCUUUGCUGAGAACGGCCUUGGCUCUGUACAAGUCUGCUUAUCAGAAACUCUAAACGUCAGAGUGUUAUCACAGUUGUAGCAUCAUAGCAGACACUGAAGAAAAAUCGAUCCCACCUGAGACUAAGACAGCCCCCCAGUGUCUGUGCAGCGAGCCAUGUGGGGCUGCAGGUCGUGCAUUUCCCUGGCAGCAUUGGCCAGGGGUGCUGGGGAGGUUUGUGUGCUCACUUGGGCACGGCGCUGCUGUGCCUGUCAACACAGCGUGCUCCGUGCUCUCCAAGCAGCAGAAGAGCGUUUCAUCAACAACGGGCCGUAAUAUUUACUGGAACCAGAUGCAUUUGUGUCUCUGAGGCUGGGUUUACCCAACAGGCUCUUCUCGAAGGAGCCGUUUUGAUUUCCUUUGUACGUGUGUGAGCAGAAGUGCUUUUCCCCCUUGUGUUCUGUCCCACGGUCUGUUGGUUUCCUCUGUGCUGCUUCAUCCCUGGAGCUCGCUGCUGCACAGAAGAGUACAGGCGUGUUUAUCACCUGUAGGGGUAAAGGGGAGCCUGGUUGGCAUAGCAGUGAGCAGCAGCUAACGGGCUGUGCAGAGGAGGGCUUUGCAGAAGGAGCAGGAGUGCCUGCGUCCAUCUGUAUCCUCGGGUACGUUCUGGCAGUGAGGCAGCAGCUGUGGCCACAGGGACUGAAUGCAGACUUGGCUUGGGGCUGCCAUGUGGCGCUUCCUACCCCUACCGUCCUGUGUAUGCCUGGCGAAGCACAGCCACCCUGCACCCACGGCAAGCGUUUGUCUUAGUGUCAUUUUUCAUGCUGUCUUGUGAAGCUCAGGCACUGGGGGCAGCUUCCCCCCAAGAAAGGGAGGAGGAAAUGAGGUCGUCAUGGAAGCCAAAAGGCAAAAAUGCACGCGGGAAAGAAAUUGGCAGAGCAGUCUGGUAGUAGUUCUGUGUUUCUCUUCCUUUAUUUCCAUGCAGGUGAAAGAGAUGGCUGCUCUAAGCCGGCCUUGAAUGCAAAGAAGGACCCUAGUGUGGAUUUGCCAUAGGCCCAGCAAGAGGCUCAACAGGACCGA
Long non-coding RNA from Gallus gallus (chicken), 4721 nucleotides. The record is from Ensembl. Lineage: Eukaryota; Metazoa; Chordata; Aves; Galliformes; Phasianidae.